Molecule: ribosomal RNA, 1084 nt
Filed under: Gadella jordani (Jordan's cod)
Lineage: Eukaryota; Metazoa; Chordata; Actinopteri; Gadiformes; Moridae
Description: partial 16S ribosomal RNA
Rfam family: Bacterial large subunit ribosomal RNA
Source: RNAcentral
GAGUGGAGAGAGCUUCAAGUAGAGGUGAUAAGCCUACCGAGCACAGUUAUAGCUGGUUGCCUGAGAAAUGAAUAGGAGUUCAGCCCUUUAAAUUUCCCUCAUCCCGCAAGUUAUUACAUAAUUUGAUAAAGGAAAUUAAAGGAGUUAAUCAAAAGGGGCACAGCUCUUUUGAUAAAAGAAACAACUUUAACAGGUGAUUCAAGAUCAUAUUAUUUAAAGGAUUUUAACCUAAGUGGGCCUAAAAGCAGCCAUCUAAUAGAAAGCGUUAAAGCUCAAAUUAACCCCCAUCCUGAUAUCUCGAUAAAAAAUCUUCCUCCCUGCUAAUCUACCAGGCUGUCUUAUGCUUUCAUAAGAACAAUAAUGCUAAAAUGAGUAAUAAGAAGAACCAAAAUUCUUCUCCUUGCACGUGUGUACGUUGGAACGGACCACCCACCAACAAUUAUUCGACCCCAAACCAAGAGGGCCAUAAAUUACUUAGACAAGAAAACUAUUUAAUAUUAAUCGUUAACCCCACACAGGAGUGCCCAAAGGAAAGACUAAAAGAGAAGGAAGGAACUCGGCAAACACAAGCCUCGCCUGUUUACCAAAAACAUCGCCUCUUGCUAUAUAGAGUAUAAGAGGUCCCGCCUGCCCUGUGACAAAAGUUUAACGGCCGCGGUAUUCUAACCGUGCGAAGGUAGCGUAAUCACUUGUUUUUUAAAUGGAGACCAGUAUGAAUGGCAUCACGAGGGCUUGACUGUCUCCCUUCUUUAGUCAAUGAAAUUGACCUUCCCGUGCAGAGGCGGGAAUAAAUAUAUAAGACGAGAAGACCCUGUGGAGCUUUAGACCUAAAAUAAAUCACAUUUAACAUGCUAAAAUAACAGUAAAAAUCUAGUGAAAAUUAUUGAAGUGUCUUUGGUUGGGGCGACCAUGGGGUAAAACACAACCCCCAUACGGACUGGGGAUACAAUCCCUAACACCCAGAGCCUCCGCUCCAAGUAACAGAAUUUCUGACCUUACGAUCCGGUUACCCGAUUAACGAACCGAGUUACCCCAGGGAUAACAGCGCAAUCCCCUCCCAAAGCCCUUAUCGACGAGGGGGUUU